GCCUCUCCAAAGGAGGCAAUCAGAUAUGCAUUUAUCUCAGUGAGCAGAGGGGUGACUUUGAAUAGAAUGGGAGGCAGGUUGACCCUAAGCAGUUCCCAGCUCAACUUUUCCCUUUAGCUUAGUGAUCUGGGGCCCCGAGAUUUAUUUUCCUUUCACAAGCCUGAUGGACUGGGCCAUGCCGCUUUUCAAGAAGCCAUUGGAAGCAAGUAUAGAAGCUUCGUCUUCUGUCGGAGAGAAGGGAGGCAGAAGUGUUCUGCCACAGCAGGGAGAGAUGAGGGAUGAGGCCAGGGUGGUGAGGAUGGAAUGAGGGUCCCUGAGAAGGGACCCAGCAAUGCAGUCCCCUCCCUGGGAGGCCUGGAGGGCACCCCGAAGAGAUGGACCUGUGAGUUGCUGCUUGAAGAGGGACCCGCAGCUGACCAAACAGAACAGAAAGACCGAAGAGUAUUAGAGGCAGAGAGUGGAAUGAACAGAGGCCACAACACAAGGAAUCAUUGUCCUAUUUUCAGAGAUCUCUGAGUUAGAGCCUGGGUCUUGGGGGAGGUGACAGAGAGCUGGGGCGGGCCUUACGGGGGGUGGAAUCCCACACCCGUCAUCCAUGCCCGAUGCGGCAGGCCCUGUGCCCAGGGCUCGGGUCCUAGGCUGGUCUCUGCUCCGUGCCGCUUCUGUUCUUAAGGGUGGAAAGAAGAUGUGAGUGGAUAAGCUUGGAUGUGCUGCGGGCUCUAAGGUGAUGGCCAAAGGACACACAGAGCUCUCCUGCAGGAGGAAAGGCAGAGCCUGGCUUGCAGAAGUGCAGGGUGACCUCCUGAGGAGGUUGAAGGAGGCUGGGCAAGUGCUCAGAAAUCUGAAGGUGGUCCCAUGAGAAAUGGGGUGGACUGACGUGGGAGCCAUGACUGCUGCCCAGGGCUUUGCUGUAGACAACCAGAUAGAGGACAGGGGAGGGGCUGCUUGGGGGAGAGGGAGUGGGGACUUUUAUUUGAACCUGAGAUGCCCACUGAGAGUCCAGAGAGGUGACAAGAAGGAGCUGAUGGCCACGCACAGUACUCAGGGAGAGAUGCGGCUGAAGGGCAUUUAGCCCAGGGGCUCUGAGAUUUCAGCGGCUGUCCCAGGGAGGGGAUGCUCGUGGAAGCAAUUGUUUUCCAAUUCUUCUCUGACUGCUCUCAGACAGACAUUCUGAAUCUUUAACUUUACAUGUUUUCUCACGUACUUGUCUAACACGUUCCUUCCUGAUUUACAAACCUUGACCCAUCUUCUAACUCCC
This 1258-nucleotide long non-coding RNA is filed under the name Homo sapiens (human). RNAcentral's name for it is "HSALNT0278678". Lineage: Eukaryota; Metazoa; Chordata; Mammalia; Primates; Hominidae. The record is from RNAcentral.